Non-coding RNA from Oryza meridionalis, 201 nucleotides. The record is from Rfam. Lineage: Eukaryota; Viridiplantae; Streptophyta; Magnoliopsida; Poales; Poaceae.
AAUAAGCUUAGUUUUACACUGUUCAUGUCCAAUAUUUGACCAUUCAUCUUAUUAAAAAAAUUAUGAUUAAUACUUUUAUGGUUGUUAGAUGAUAAAACAAGAAUAUUACUUUAUGUGUGACUAAUUUUUUCAAUUUUUUCAUAAUUUUUUAAAUAAGACAGACAGUUAAACAUUGGACACAUUCCCACAACUGCACAUAUU